This 455-nucleotide unclassified non-coding RNA is filed under the name Hevea brasiliensis (rubber tree). Lineage: Eukaryota; Viridiplantae; Streptophyta; Magnoliopsida; Malpighiales; Euphorbiaceae. The record is from RNAcentral.
ACGUCAUUACAGCCUUGAUCUUGCUCUUGAUCUUGAUUGGUCAGUCUCACUUGCUUACCGUUUGAUAUUGGGUGGUGGGUCAUGACAGGAAAUUUGGCGGUGACAAGAGGAACGCAGGCUCAUUAAUUUAGCCAAAUAAUGAACUUUUGGAAUUGAUAUCUGUCAAGGACUCGAGCAACUACUGGCAGUCUGGCAUGGGUGAGUGAUGAUGUGAUAUCCUUUGUUUUGUAUCCCCGCCAAAAUCAAGCCAUAUUAGUUCAACUCUGCGUGUCAAUUCUGCUAAUCCCAGCCAAUAACUGGAUUAAGUCACACCUAAUCACCUGAAAGGUUGUGAUGAAUUCAAAUACUGCAUUAGUCAUAUCUAAUCACCGAAUGAGGAGAGCCAACUUGAACCUCGCUCUUUAGGGGGGUAAUGUUUGAAUGGAGCGAGGAAAGUGUAUUUAAAUGGAGUGGGG